UGCUGCCAUAGUCCGGCACUUCGGCUGAAACCUGAGCCUGGUGUCCCCUCUCUCCCUCCUUGGUUAUCUACUCCCCAGCUUUGAGAGAGCCAACAGGAUAUUUAAUACCAAGCCACCUCCAGAAAGCAAAUGACUGCUGCCAAGCACAGGGAGGGGGUCAGAGCUGCAGGUACCACCUCAGGAACAGCAGAGGAAAAGCAGCCCCACAGAUAUGCCCAGGAGCCUGGAAACUCACAGAAACUGGAUGCUCUCAAUGGGCGCUGCAGCAGAAACAAAACCUACUGGCAGGUUUCUGCCUUCUGAGUAGAAGGCAGCAUUCAGCAGAAUACAGCAUCUCCAGACAGGCCACAGUAGCAAAGCCUCAGGCAGUCAGCCAGCAGAACACACAGAACAGGAAGAGACUGCAAACCCAGAAGAAAGAGAAAAGCAAAAGCAUUGGGAAAAUUAAUCUGAUGAAAGGAAAAACCCAGAUGCUUAAAUUCUAUUCUUUCAUCAUCCUCACCCCUAUCCACAUGAUUCAUGACAGAUAAAUCCAUAUGUCCAAGUUCCAUUCUCCCAUCAUCCUCACCUCUGCCCACAUGAUUUAGCAAAGGUCCGCAGAUCUUAAUAGCAUCCAUGAUGAGAGUCAAGACACAAGAAAUCAUCUCUGGAAGGCAUCUGCCAAGUGAGUUUGUUCUCAUUUCAUGCACCAGCCUGAGUAAACCCUUUGUCCAUGCUCGUUUCUGCUUA
Molecule: non-coding RNA, 729 nt
Organism: Taeniopygia guttata (zebra finch)
Lineage: Eukaryota; Metazoa; Chordata; Aves; Passeriformes; Estrildidae
Source: RefSeq, a predicted model, not a curated record